CGUAGUUUCAGUUUAGGAUUUUUAUUAAAUUAUUAAUUUAAUUAAUUAAAUUAAUUCGAAGAUAUUCUUCAUAGAGUUUACAAAGAUGUUUUGAAUGUACAGUUUAGUUUAUGACCAUCAAUGAUAUUUAUUUCUAAGAUUAGUCAUUUUGUAAUUUUUUUAUUGUUGGUUAUAAACAAAUGUAUGUAAAGAGUUUUUAUGAAAAAAUAAAAUGUUACUACACUUUUCAUCAUUCAGUCAGAAGCAACAGUGGAAAUACAACAGUCAUUUAAAAAUUAAAAUCAAUAAUAAUUUGUUUUUGACAAUACUUAUUAAAACAAGACAGUACACGUUAUUCUCUUAUUGGUAAUUCCAAGAACCAAAUGUGUGGUAGAAAGUAUGAUGAAGUCGUCGUAAAAAAAUUUUGUGAUAAACACGGAAACAAAAGAUGUCGUAAAAAUAUCUGCUAUCGAUAGAAAUUGGGUACACAUUGGCAUUCACGAUAAAGCAAAACAAAACUGGUUUACCAUAAAGGUCUUGAUCUUUACACUUUUUGCCGAGAGUAAUUUAACUGACUCGGCAUUAUUUUUCUACUACGAUUUUGAAACAAGUCAAUCUUAUUCAUUUGAAUAUUAUAUAUGAUGGAAGGGAAAGUCUUCAGUGCUAGGUGGUUGUACGAGUAGCACGAGUAAUUCGGCGCUCGCCGUGAGAUCGCGCCCAGCUGCAUGCGUUGUCCCUGUGUAAUCAAAAGAGUGCAGAGAUGAUUUAACUUGAGUGAAUUAGUCGAAAGUAGUUCUUAUCAAAAAUGUAUGGGUAUGGUACAUCUCGGCAGAGAAUUUCUCUGCAUCACAAAAUCUCAAAGUUUUUCUCUACACGAGUCAACUGUAUAUACUAGUUUCUACACCAUAACAACUCUCCAGCAGAUUAAUUUCACAAAGUUCCAUCACUGUAUCGGAAUACCUCUAACAUGAAAAAUUUUUACAUGAGAACUUCUUUACAGAGCACUGAAUUCAAGUUGCAAAUUUUUUGUUUCGACAUUUUGUUAACAAAGUGGGCGUAAAUGGCGCUGAUAGGGGCUAAUUUUGACAAAUAGCGUAGGAGGUGAGAGGGGUUCAGAUAUAGAUUGAAAGUGGAGGGGACAGGAAGACCCUUGAAAUUAGUAUAUUGUACCGCACAAUCUCAGUGACACGAGAGGCAAACAGGUUAGCAUCAACAACUGAAUCAUUUUUGUGACUCGUGUUUAAAAGAUAUAAGUAAUAAAUCGGUUAUUUUAAAAAUGGAAGUUCAACAAGGAAUCACCUUCGGCAAGUACAAAACAACGUGUAAAGAAAUACGAAAUGGACAAUCGGGGGUCAACACAAGACUUGCAUUUGAAAGUUUCGGCAUAAUAUCAAUCCUACAUAUUGCAUUGUACUUCGAAGAUUAUUCAUUUGUGGAGUAUCUUCUCGAUCAUCAAGUUGAUGUCAACAUCAGUGAAGAAAGCUGUGGUACACCAUUACAUUUUGCUAUUGUCGAGAAAGUAAAUUACAGAAUAAUUCAAAAACUGUUAGAAGCUGGUGCAAAUGUAAAUGCUGAAGAUAAUGAAAAAUUUACGCCAUUGCAUAGAGCCGUUCACCUUAAUCGAUACAAAAUUGCUGUAUUACUUCUUGAAUCUGGUGCAAAUAUCAACGCAACUUGUGAUGCAAAAAAUGGUUUCGAUUUCUGGGCACCGUUAGAUCUUGCUAUCAUUGGUGACAAGUUGGAGAUGGUGAUGUUGUUACUCAGUUAUGAGACUGAUAUUGAUUUAAAAUUACAAACUGGAAGAUAUCCUCCAUUAGUAAUAGCUUGUCUCUAUGGAUCCGUCAGAGCGAUUGAAAUUAUUUUGGAAAAAGGUGCGGACAUUAAUUACUCGAGUGAUAGUGGUUUUAUAAUUGAAUUGCCGUUACAAGCCGCUGUGGUAUCAGGAGAUCACCAUAAAGUUAGAUUGUUGUUAAGCAAUAGUGACCUCAAGAUCAAUCAAGUGAAUAUUGAGUGUAAAACUGCACUUCAUUAUGCUGUCAGUUCUCCAUCAGAAAUUAUUCUUAAAAAUCUUUUGGAUGCUGGUAUUGAUGUGAAUGUAGUUGAUAACGGUGGUCGAUUGGCUGUGGAAUCGAAUAAUCGAGACAGUGGUAAAAAAAAAAUUAUGAUGUUGAAAAAACACAUUGUUAAGUUAAGUGUUGCUGGUUAUUGUUUAGCUGAAGGUAAUUUAAAAGCUAUUAGUGGAAAAGAGUAUGACAAUUUGCGACUUAUAUGUAGUGAAGAAAUUGAAGUAUUAAAAUUAUCUAGAAUCGAUUCAAUUAAUCUCUGUGUUUAUAGUAUACUUCAUAAAAGUGAACAUGUCUUGGCACGAAGAUUAAAACGUGUGGACGAAGAAAGUAUUUUAAGAUUUAAUUUUAAAACUGAAUUUCCUUUGUAUGGUAACAUGAUUUAUUAUAAAGUAAAGAGGGCAGCUAAUAGAAAACAACUUCUUAUAUAUGUUGAUAAUUUUACUAGUCAAGCAUUUUUAGAGUAUUUACCGGACACUUUUACCAGAAAAAUAACUAGUUAUUUUACAAAUCAUGAAUUAAAAAUUUUAAAUGCAAAUAAAUGUAAUUAUGUUCAAUGGAUAUGA
Molecule: long non-coding RNA, 2608 nt
Organism: Microplitis demolitor
Lineage: Eukaryota; Metazoa; Arthropoda; Insecta; Hymenoptera; Braconidae
Product: ankyrin-3
Exons: 5
Source: RefSeq, a predicted model, not a curated record